AACACAAAACCUAGGUGGGAAAAUUGAAGAAAAAAGUGUGGGAUUUCAAAGGAUCAAGCAAUCAAAGGUAAAAUUUCUUGAUUUUGACUUGUGAUCUACCUUUCUCAUGCAUUUCUCCUUAUUUUCCAUGGUUAAAUUUCAUGUUGUCAUGGUGAAUUCAUGGCUGACCAAAUGGGUAUGGAGAGAGAAUGAAGUUAGAUUGAUUUGAUUCUAAGUUAUGUUAGUGUUUUUAGUUAGUUUAUCAUGUCUAGAAAUAAAACAACAAGAAAAGAAUUUAUUUUUCCCAUCAUCCAUCAAUGGCCGAAUUUUCUAGAGAGAAUAUUGUGGCUGAAUUUGAUGAUAUUUCAUGAUAUUUUUGGUGAUAUUUGAUGUUUGGUGAGGCUAGAAAAUUAAAUGGGAAAUUUUGGUGUGAAAAUCUGAAUUUUUGCUCAACAUAUAAACAUGUGUGAUUAUUGACCCGGGACUGAUAAAUUGAACCUCAUUCACAGUCACUGAGGUAAUUUAGGUAUAAUUGGAGUGUAGAAAGUAAAAAGAAUUGAUUUGGAGUUAAAUUGGAGAUUUUAGCAGAUUAGACCGAGUAUAGUGUGACUUAGGUCGAAUAUUACAUUUAAGCGAUUAAUCGGACAUUUUGCAUUCCAUAUCUUGCAUUAGUAGUCUAAAUUAGUUUAAUUUCAAUUUAGUACCAAUGUGGUGAAUUUUUAGAUUUUGUACUGUGUCAAGGUGGUGAAUCAUCCGAUAAAGGCAAGGAAAUUGCAUCCGAAGACCAGUAGACAAAGUACCUCAAAAGUCUACAUUCUAGACAUUGUGAGUAAACUUACUAUCAUUUUAAUUAUCUAGGGUGGUUUUUAGAUGAUUUCAUGAUUCUAUGGAAAAAUGGAUUUAAAAAAAGUAAAUUUUCAUGUUUUAUGAAUAAAUGUGUUUCAAUGAAAUUAAUUUAUAAAUUAUUUUGAAAUUAAUAAUGACUUUGAAAAAUAGAGUACACGGAGAUUGCUAAUUGUGGCAAUUUGAUUGUUUAAAUUGAUGGCUUAUGUUACAUUGUUAUUGUAUUGGCAUGACUGGUUGGGCUGUGUUUUAUGAAUUGUAUGAAUUGUUUUAUUUUACCCUUGCAGGUUGGGUAGUAAUAUAUUAGCCUUGUCAUGCUGUUAAAAUUUUAUUGUAUGGUGGGUUUAACCUGCUACAAGGGGCGGGUUUUCUGUGGACCAGCCUGUUAGAGGGGCACGGAAUCCUGAUAUAUUUUACCUCGGUUGGAGAGGCGAGUAGGGUAACUCCCGAUGUAUAACUUUUAGAGUUCACUUCACGCUAAACCACCACGUGAGGGGGAACUCAACCAACGCUAAGGAACCGCUAUGUUUUUAAAAUAAAAACAUGAUUUAUGCAUACAUAACUUUUUAAUAGCCUUGGCGGACUCAGUUGGGAUAGCCCUCUGUCAAGGUAUCCUUGAUAACUGAGUAUGAUAAUGAUUUUAG
This 1466-nucleotide long non-coding RNA is filed under the name Theobroma cacao (cacao). RNAcentral describes it as "long non-coding RNA (TCAC_LNC006489)". Lineage: Eukaryota; Viridiplantae; Streptophyta; Magnoliopsida; Malvales; Malvaceae. The record is from RNAcentral.